Molecule: ribosomal RNA, 492 nt
Filed under: uncultured bacterium
Lineage: Bacteria
Description: partial 16S ribosomal RNA
Rfam family: Bacterial small subunit ribosomal RNA
Source: RNAcentral
AGUGAACGCUGGCGGUAGGCCUAACACAUGCAAGUCGAACGGCAGCACAGUAAGAGCUUGCUCUUGCGGGUGGCGAGUGGCGGACGGGUGAGGAAUACAUCGGAAUCUACUUUUUCGUGGGGGAUAACGUAGGGAAACUUACGCUAAUACCGCAUACGACCUACGGGUGAAAGCAGGGGAUCUUCGGACCUUGCGCGAUUGAAUGAGCCGAUGUCGGAUUUGCUAGUUGGCGGGGUAAAGGCCCACCAAGGCGACGAUCCGUAGCUGGUCUGAGAGGAUGAUCAGCCACACUGGAACUGAGACACGGUCCAGACUCCUACGGGAGGCAGCAGUGGGGAAUAUUGGACAAUGGGCGCAAGCCUGAUCCAGCCAUACCGCGUGGGUGAAGAAGUCCUUCGGGUUGUAAAGCCCUUUUGUUGGGAAAGAAAAGCAGCAGGUUAAUACCCCGCUGUUCUGACGGUACCCAAAGAAUAAGCACCGGCUAACUUCGUG